AUUGAACGCUGGCGGCAGGCCUAACACAUGCAAGUCGAACGGAGUGGCGAACGGGUGAGUAACACGUGGGUGAUCUGCCUUUCACUUCGGGAUAAGCUUGGGAAACUGGGUCUAAUACCGGAUAUUGCAAGCUGAGCUCGGGGCCUAUGCGCUUGUUGGUGUGGUAAUGGCCUACCAAGGUGUCGACGGGUAGCCCGCCUGGGAGGGUGUACGGCAACAUGGCGACUGAGAUACGGCGCAGAAUCCAACGGGAGGCAGCAGUGGGGAAUAUUGCGCAAUGGGGGGAAGCCUGAUGCAGAGACGCAGGGUGGGGGAUAAAGGCCUUCGGGUUGUAAACUCCUGUCGACAGGGACGCGGUACCUGUAUAAGAAGCACCGGCUAACUACGUGCCAGCAGCCGCGGUAAUUC
This 408-nucleotide ribosomal RNA is filed under the name uncultured bacterium. RNAcentral's name for it is "partial 16S ribosomal RNA". It matches the Rfam family "Bacterial small subunit ribosomal RNA", at positions 30 to 526 of the family's 1533-position model. The record is from RNAcentral.